Long non-coding RNA from Oncorhynchus gorbuscha (pink salmon), 238 nucleotides. RefSeq lists it as uncharacterized. The record is from RefSeq and is a predicted model, not a curated record. Lineage: Eukaryota; Metazoa; Chordata; Actinopteri; Salmoniformes; Salmonidae. The transcript is spliced from 3 exons.
GGAGGAGUCUGACCAGGAGGAAAACGGAUGAGUACUUCCGUAUGAAGCUCCAGUGGAAGUCAGUGAGUGAGGAGCAGGAGAAACGCAACAGCAUGUUUAGAGACCACAGGAGUCUAAUAGAGAAAGACGUGAACAGGACCGAUCGGACCAACGCUUUCUAUGAAGGACAAGACAACCCAGGACUGAUCCUGCUGCACGAUGUCCUCAUGACCUACUGCAUGUAUGACUUUGACCUGGG